This 88-nucleotide unclassified non-coding RNA is filed under the name Pseudomonas frederiksbergensis. The record is from RNAcentral. Lineage: Bacteria; Pseudomonadati; Pseudomonadota; Gammaproteobacteria; Pseudomonadales; Pseudomonadaceae.
GUGGGAGCGAGCCUGCUCGCGAUGGCGUCGUGUCAGUCAAACUAUUCGGUGACUGGCACUCUGCAAUCGCGAGCAGGCUCGCUCCUAC